RNAcentral lists this ribosomal RNA (116 nucleotides) under Pteropus alecto (black flying fox). The record is from RNAcentral. Lineage: Eukaryota; Metazoa; Chordata; Mammalia; Chiroptera; Pteropodidae.
GUCUAUGGCCAUGCUACCUUGAACAAGCCUGAUGUCGGAUCUCAGAAGCUAAGCAGGGUCAGGCCUCGUUAGUACUUGGAUGGGAGACCACCUAGGAAUACCAGGUGCUGUAGGCA